This 1596-nucleotide small RNA is filed under the name Pongo abelii (Sumatran orangutan). Its description in RNAcentral is "retained intron". Lineage: Eukaryota; Metazoa; Chordata; Mammalia; Primates; Hominidae. The record is from RNAcentral.
GGGAAAUAGCGCGGCGCGGGCGGUAGUUGCUGUGGUUUCCGUUCUGAGCUCGCAGCUGAAGAUCGCGGCCUUAGCGUUCCCGCGUCCGAGUCCGGCCAUCAGUGGCUGCGGAUCCGGAGGCCAGGAGCUCAACCACCCUUCUUCGGAACAGGGUCGGCCCGCUGCUGUGCCUUGGACGCUCGGUGCCUAUAUCUACUCCGGGGCCUAGGUCGGCUCCGGGGGCGGCUUAGGAGAAGGCCGUCGGCGAGAUGUUCAAAAACACGUUCCAGAGCGGCUUCCUCUCCAUCCUCUACAGCAUCGGCAGCAAGCCUCUGCAAAUCUGGGACAAAAAGGUACGGAAUGGCCACAUCAAAAGAAUCACUGAUAAUGAUAUCCAGUCCCUCGUGCUAGAGAUUGAAGGGACAAAUGUAAGCACCACAUAUAUCACAUGCCCUGCAGACCCCAAGAAGACACUGGGAAUUAAACUUCCUUUCCUUGUCAUGAUUAUCAAAAACCUGAAGAAGUAUUUUACCUUCGAAGUGCAGGUACUAGAUGACAAGAAUGUGCGUCGUCGCUUUCGGGCAAGUAACUACCAGAGCACCACCCGGGUCAAACCCUUCAUCUGCACCAUGCCCAUGCGGCUGGAUGACGGCUGGAACCAGAUUCAGUUCAACUUACUCGACUUCACGAGGCGAGCAUACGGCACCAAUUACAUUGAGACCCUCAGAGUGCAGGUACUGCUCCUUUCCCAGAUAGAGCCCUGGGUUGGGGAUAGGGCACACUGCGUCUAAUAUUGGCUUGUGGCCCACGUAGCAGAACAGUGUGGGUUUCUGGCUUCAGUUGCCACACUGUCCAGGGAGCUUUGGCCUCACAGAGGUCCAAGAAGUAUUCAGAAGUCGGGUCAGGUAUAGAGGUGAAUGCAGCAAGUAAGACCUCCCUCUUGCCAGAAUCCAUCCCUAAGACAAGCCAAGGAGACGCCGGAGAUGAAGCGUUCCCAGUCCUAGAAGAGGGCCUCUAGAAGAUUCAGGAAAAGGGGGAGAAGAGUCACAUUUAGCCUCUCAAAAGAAGCAUUGCCUUGACAGAUCCAUGCAAAUUGUCGCAUCCGACGGGUUUACUUCUCAGACAGACUCUACUCAGAAGAUGAGCUGCCGGCAGAGUUCAAACUGUAUCUCCCAGUUCAGAACAAGGCAAAGCAAUAACUGGAAUUGUGACUCAAGGGAUAGACCCUGGAUGUGACUCUUCUUUUUAAAAGGAAACUAUGUGGAGGAUGAUGCAAAAACAUAUUUAUCUUAGUUCGCUGUGCUGUAGUUCUGUUAUUUAUACUUGGUGUUGCUUGUCAUGGACACCGGUGACCAUGCCGUAACUCUGUGACUGCAUUGUAAGUGCAGAGGGGGUAAGCAGUCCUGUGAGUGGCGCAUGAAUGCUGGAGCUUAUUCCACCGCCUGCCCCAGUGUAGGGGGAGAUACCUUUACCGUGAACUUACAGAAUUAAAGAUGGCCCAUAAGGAAUUCCAGACCAAUAUUUCUUCCUGCGGUUUAUUCUAUGUUUUAUAUAUUAUCUAAAUAUAUGUAUAUGCUGUGUCAUACUCAUAAUCUGGAAAUGAAUAAAAUGAUAUAU